Molecule: ribosomal RNA, 474 nt
Filed under: uncultured organism
Description: partial 16S ribosomal RNA
Rfam family: Bacterial small subunit ribosomal RNA
Source: RNAcentral
UACACUCCUACGGGAGGCAGCAGUGGGGAAUUUUGGACAAUGGGCGAAAGCCUGAUCCAGCAAUGCCGCGUGAGUGAAGAAGGCCUUCGGGUUGUAAAGCUCUUUUGUCAGGGAAGAAACGGUGAGAGCUAAUAUCUUUUGCUAAUGACGGUACCUGAAGAAUAAGCACCGGCUAACUACGUGCCAGCAGCCGCGGUAAUACGUAGGGUGCAAGCGUUAAUCGGAAUUACUGGGCGUAAAGCGUGCGCAGGCGGUUUUGUAAGUCUGAUGUGAAAUCCCCGGGCUCAACCUGGGAAUUGCAUUGGAGACUGCAAGGCUAGAAUCUGGCAGAGGGGGGUAGAAUUCCACGUGUAGCAGUGAAAUGCGUAGAUAUGUGGAGGAACACCGAUGGCGAAGGCAGCCCCCUGGGUCAAGAUUGACGCUCAUGCACGAAAGCGUGGGGAGCAAACAGGAUUAGAAACCCCGGUAGUCCCA